This 74-nucleotide transfer RNA is filed under the name Candidatus Heimdallarchaeota archaeon. RNAcentral describes it as "tRNA-Met". It matches the Rfam family "tRNA". Rfam says of the family: Transfer RNA (tRNA) molecules are approximately 80 nucleotides in length. Their secondary structure includes four short double-helical elements and three loops (D, anti-codon, and T loops). The record is from RNAcentral. Lineage: Archaea; Promethearchaeati; Candidatus Heimdallarchaeota.
AGCACCGUAGAGUAGUGGUAAACUCGUUGGGCUCAUAACCCAAAGAUCGAACGGUUCAAAUCCUUCCGGUGCUA